This 76-nucleotide transfer RNA is filed under the name unidentified. Its description in RNAcentral is "Fusobacteria bacterium ZRK30 tRNA-His". It matches the Rfam family "tRNA". From Rfam's summary of the family: Transfer RNA (tRNA) molecules are approximately 80 nucleotides in length. Their secondary structure includes four short double-helical elements and three loops (D, anti-codon, and T loops). Further hydrogen bonds mediate the characteristic L-shaped molecular structure. tRNAs have two regions of fundamental functional importance: the anti-codon, which is responsible for specific mRNA codon recognition, and the 3' end, to which the tRNAs corresponding amino acid is attached (by aminoacyl-tRNA synthetases). tRNAs cope with the degeneracy of the genetic code in two manners: having more than one tRNA (with a specific anti-codon) for a particular amino acid; and 'wobble' base-pairing, i.e. permitting non-standard base-pairing at the 3rd anti-codon position. The record is from RNAcentral. RNAcentral also lists the same sequence under 1 other name.
GUGGUUGUAGUUCAGUUGGUAGAGCGCCAGUUUGUGGUACUGGUUGUCGCGGGUUCGAGCCCCGUCAGCCACCCCA